CCUACGGGAGGCUGCAGUGGGGAAUAUUGGGCAAUGGGCGCAAGCCUGACCCAGCAACGCCGCGUGAAGGAAGAAGGCUCUCGGGUUGUAAACUUCUUUUGUCAGGGACGAAGCAAGUGACGGUACCUGACGAAUAAGCCACGGCUAACUACGUGCCAGCAGCAGCGGUAAUACGGAGGUGGCAAGCGUUAUCCGGAUUUACUGGGUGUAAAGGGCGUGUAGGCGGGGAAGUAAGUCAGAGGUGAAAACCACGGGCUCAACCUGUGGCCUGCAUUUGAUACUGUUUUUCUUGAGUGCUGGUGAGGCAAUCGGAAUUCCGGGUGUAGCGGUGAAAUGCGUAGAGAUACGGAGGAACACCAGUGGCGAAGGCAGAUUGCUGGACAGUAACUGACGCUGAGGCGCGAAAGCGUGGGGAGCAAACAGGAUUAGAUACCCCUGUAGUC
This 443-nucleotide ribosomal RNA is filed under the name uncultured bacterium. Its description in RNAcentral is "partial 16S ribosomal RNA". It matches the Rfam family "Bacterial small subunit ribosomal RNA", at positions 338 to 795 of the family's 1533-position model. The record is from RNAcentral.